UAAAGGGCCGCGGUAUUUUGACCGUGCAAAGGUAGCAUAAUCAUUAGUCUUCUAAUUAAAGGCUGGAAUGAAUGGUUGGACGAGGUACUAGCUGUCUCUUUAAAAUAAGUCAGAAUUUAGCUUUUUAGUCAAAAGGCUGAAAUAAAGUUGGAGGACGAGAAGACCCUAUAGAUCUUUACAUUUAACUUAUUUAGUUUGUUUAGGUAGGUUAUAAUUUUAUAGGGAAAAUGUUUCGUUGGGGUGACGAGAAGAUACACGAAACUCUUUUUAUAGAAAUACACGGAUGAGUGGUUGGUUGAUCCAUAAGUAAUGAUUAUAAGACUAAGUUACCUUAGGGAUAACAGCGUAAUCUUUUUUGAGAGUUCUAAUCGACAAGAAGGGUUGCGACCUCGAUGUUGGACUAAGGGUUAUUUUUGGGUGUAGCAGCUCAAAGUUUAGGUCUGUUCGAACUUU
This 453-nucleotide ribosomal RNA is filed under the name Electrogena ujhelyii. RNAcentral's name for it is "partial 16S ribosomal RNA". It matches the Rfam family "Bacterial large subunit ribosomal RNA", at positions 1924 to 2589 of the family's 2925-position model. The record is from RNAcentral. Lineage: Eukaryota; Metazoa; Arthropoda; Insecta; Ephemeroptera; Heptageniidae.